UGGGGAAUAUUGGACAAUGGACCGAGAGUCUGAUCCAGCAAUUCUGUGUGCACGAUGACGUUUUUCGGAAUGUAAAGUGCUUUCAGUUGGGAAGAAAAAAAUGACGGUACCAACAGAAGAAGUGACGGCUAAAUACGUGCCAGCAGCCGCGGUAAUACGUAUGUCACAAGCGUUAUCCGGAUUUAUUGGGCGUAAAGCGCGUCUAGGUGGUUAUGUAAGUCUGAUGUGAAAAUGCAGGGCUCAACUCUGUAUUGCGUUGGAAACUGUAUAACUAGAGUACUGGAGAGGUAAGCGGAACUACAAGUGUAGAGGUGAACUUCGUAGAUAUUUGUAGGAAUGUCGAUGGGGAAGCCAGCUUACUGGACAGAUACUGACGCUAAAGCGCGAAAGCGUGGGUAGCAAACAGG
Molecule: ribosomal RNA, 407 nt
Filed under: bacterium
Lineage: Bacteria
Description: partial 16S ribosomal RNA
Rfam family: Bacterial small subunit ribosomal RNA
Source: RNAcentral